Pelobates cultripes (western spadefoot toad) is the source of this 484-nucleotide non-coding RNA. Lineage: Eukaryota; Metazoa; Chordata; Amphibia; Anura; Pelobatidae. The record is from the annotation of a GenBank genome assembly.
CCUAAACAAACACAAAUGUGGAGACUGACACCUUCAUUCAUUACCCAUAGGGAAUGAUGGGUACCUGAAUUUUGAAAAUUAACAAAAUUUUCAGAUGAAAUUUGGUUACUCUGAAUCAAUAUAUCCGAAUUUCAGACUUACUGAAAUUUGAAAAUGAAUGAAUGGAAACAAAAAUUGCCCCCGUGUACAUCUCUAUCAGAAACAUAUUUUUGUGAAACAUUGAAGGUAUGAGAGGCAAACAUAUUAUGCACCUUCUAAUGAGAAACAUGAUGAUGAGGACUGGACAUAGAGUUGCAGAAUUCUGAUGAUCUCCUCAGUCAGCCUAUGAUUUCAACGGUGCAGCUAGCCCCUCGCUGCCACGGACCCUCAGCAGCACUGUAUUUGCCGCAAGGCAAACAAGGCAUUUGUCACUAUGUGUGUCUGUCUGUCAGUGAGUCUGUGUGUGUAACUCUGUCAGUGUUUGUAUGUGUUUGUGUGUGUAUGU